UUCGGGAGCAGACUACAGGAUUCCCCUAGUAACUGCGAGUGAAGCGGGAAAAGCUCAAAUUUAAAAUCUGGCAGUCUUUGGCUGUCCGAGUUGUAAUCUAGAGAAGUGUUAUCCGCGCUGGACCGUGUACAAGUCUCCUGGAAUGGAGCGUCAUAGAGGGUGAGAAUCCCGUCUUUGACACGGACUGCCAGGGCUUUGUGAUGCGCUCUCAAAGAGUCGAGUUGUUUGGGAAUGCAGCUCAAAAUGGGUGGUAAAUUCCAUCUAAAGCUAAAUAUUGGCGAGAGACCGAUAGCGAACAAGUACCGUGAGGGAAAGAUGAAAAGAACUUUGGAAAGAGAGUUAAACAGUACGUGAAAUUGCUGAAAGGGAAACGCUUGAAGUCAGUCGCAUUGUGUGGGAAUCAACCUUGCUUUUGCUGGGCGUAUUUUCCAUAUGAUGGGUCAGCAUCAAUUUUGACCGUUGGAUAAAGUUCAAGGGAAUGUGGCAUCUUCGGAUGUGUUAUAGCCCUUGGUCGUAUACAACGAUUGGGAUUGAGGAACUCAGCACGCCGAAAGGCCGGGUCUCGUACCACGUUCGUGCUUAGGAUGCUGGCAUAAUGGCUUUAAUCGACCCGUCUUGAAACACGGACCAAGGAGUCUAACAUGCCUGCGAGUAUUUGGGUGAAAAACCCGAGUGCGUAAUGAAAGUGAAAGUUGAGAUCCCUGUCAUGGGGAGCAUCGACGCCCGGACCAGACCUUUUGUGACGGAUCUGCGGUAGAGCAUGUAUGUUGGGACCCGAAAGAUGGUGAACUAUGCCUGAAUAGGGUGAAGCCAGAGGAAACUCUGGUGGAGGCUCGUAGCGAUUCUGACGUGCAAAUCGAUCGUCAAAUUUGGGUAUAGGGGCGAAAGACUAAUCGAACCAUCUAGUAGCUGGUUCCUGCCGA
RNAcentral lists this ribosomal RNA (923 nucleotides) under Hypholoma fasciculare. RNAcentral describes it as "partial large subunit ribosomal RNA". It matches the Rfam family "Eukaryotic large subunit ribosomal RNA", at positions 51 to 964 of the family's 3401-position model. Lineage: Eukaryota; Fungi; Basidiomycota; Agaricomycetes; Agaricales; Strophariaceae. The record is from RNAcentral.